GAUGAACGCUGGCGACGUGCUUAACACAUGCAAGUCGAACGGUGAAGGCGGAGCUUGCUCUGCUGGAUCAGUGGCGAACGGGUGAGUAACACGUGAGCAAUCUGCCCCUGACUCUGGGAUAAGCGCUGGAAACGGCGUCUAAUACUGGAUACGAGCUGCGAAGGCAUCUUCAGCAGCUGGAAAGAACUUCGGUCAGGGAUGAGCUCGCGGCCUAUCAGCUUGUUGGUGAGGUAACGGCUCACCAAGGCGUCGACGGGUAGCCGGCCUGAGAGGGUGACCGGCCACACUGGGACUGAGACACGGCCCAGACUCCUACGGGAGGCAGCAGUGGGGAAUAUUGCACAAUGGGCGAAAGCCUGAUGCAGCAACGCCGCGUGAGGGACGACGGCCUUCGGGUUGUAAACCUCUUUUAGCAGGGAAGAAGCGAAAGUGACGGUACCUGCAGAAAAAGCGCCGGCUAACUACGUG
This 468-nucleotide ribosomal RNA is filed under the name uncultured bacterium. RNAcentral's name for it is "partial 16S ribosomal RNA". It matches the Rfam family "Bacterial small subunit ribosomal RNA", at positions 28 to 507 of the family's 1533-position model. The record is from RNAcentral.